Molecule: ribosomal RNA, 473 nt
Filed under: uncultured bacterium
Lineage: Bacteria
Description: SSU rRNA
Rfam family: Bacterial small subunit ribosomal RNA
Source: RNAcentral
AGGACGAACGCUGGCGGCGUGCCUAACACAUGCAAGUCGAGCGGAAAGGCCCUUCGGGGUACUCGAGCGGCGAACGGGUGAGUAACACGUGAGUAAUCUGCCCCUAGCUCUGGGAUAGCUCCGGGAAACCGGGAUUAAUACCGGAUACGACCACUUUAGACAUCUGUUGUGGUGGAAAGAAUUUUGGCUAGGGAUGAGCUCGCGGCCUAUCAGCUUGUUGGUGGGGUAACGGCCUACCAAGGCGACGACGGGUAGCCGGCCUGAGAGGGCGACCGGCCACACUGGGACUGAGACACGGCCCAGACUCCUACGGGAGGCAGCAGUGGGAAUAUUGCGCAAUGGGCGAAAGCCUGACGCAGCGACGCCGCGUGGGGGAUGAAGGCCUUCGGGUUGUAAACCCUUUCAGCAGGGACGAAGCGAAAGUGACGGUACCUGCAGAAGAAGACGCCGGCUAACUACGUGCCAGCAGCCGC